RNAcentral lists this long non-coding RNA (1269 nucleotides) under Sus scrofa (pig). RNAcentral describes it as "lncRNA (ENSSSCG00055015389.1)". Lineage: Eukaryota; Metazoa; Chordata; Mammalia; Artiodactyla; Suidae. The record is from RNAcentral.
AAUAAGAGGUCGGGCAGGCGGGCAAGCUAGCUCCCUUCUAGUCAAUGGGGCGAAGGCUGGGGACGCCGGCAGAGGAAGCCUAACGUUCUGGGCCCCCGGGCCCAGGCGCAUCCUCCCUCCGCGCUCCCGCUCCCAGGCUGGGCUCGAGUCGGGUCUGACCCCGCAGGCUCGGGCGACCGCCGGCCCCGGCGAGAAGCGCUUCCCCCAGGCUUCUUCCCUCGGGGGCCCAGACCCGGAGAGGAGCGUCUCCUCUGACUCCAGCUUUGAGUCUCCCACGUCCCGCACAACAGGCGCCACCAGCAGGGAUCCCGGUUAGGGAGGCUCACAGAAGACGCGCGAGAAAGGGGGUGAAGGAAAGAGAAAAGGGACGGAGCAAAGGGGCGCAGAGUGAUUUUUCACGGUAAAUAAAACACUGGCACACGCAGAGGGUAAGUUUGGGGAGAGAAUGAGGGGCGAGCGAAAACCCAAGGAAGAGGAGCAGGUGGAGUGGUCCCUCCACGCGCGGGAGCGAGCGGGUCUCCGGCUGGGCGACGCGGUCUAGGGAGCCAGCCGACGCAGCCCAGCUGGCCCGAGCAGGUUCAACCACUGGAGCGCGAGACGGACCGCGCGACCCACCUGACUGAGAAGCGCUGGGCUGGACGGUCCCCGCCGCCACGAGAAGGCUCAUCCAGCCCCACAGUCCUGUCGCCAGCUUCAUUUUUUGGAAGUCUCAGAUCCCGUGCUGACAAUUACAUGUCCAAAUGGCAUAUCCCCUUUCGGGCACGCGGAGGAGAUCCCUCAGCCGGGCGCGCGUGGGGGCGCGAAGGGGGGCUGGUGCGCUCGGUGCACCCGCUCCGAGUCCGCGCCCGCGGGUCCAGGGCCCGGGCCCCAAGAGCAAGAGAGGGUGCGCGUGAGGGUGAGCGCGGGUGGGAGUGUGCUCGAGUGUGUGCGCCGUGCUCCUGGCCGGGGACCGGGCAGCUAUUUCCCUGUGGGAGCCUUCGCGUUCUCGCUCCCUCCUCACUUUCUCACUCUCUCUCUCUCACUGGUUGGUCAACAAUAAAAAGGAAGGGUUCGGAAAAGGGUUUCCAAAAAAAGUUGAUUGCAAAGAGGCGGUAGGUUUCCGGCCUCUCCCCCCAGCCGGUCUCUGUUCAGCUCCCUUUUCAGUUUCCUUGCACCUCCAGUCCAAAUUGGGAGGAAAGGGAGGGGUGGAGGGGGGGAAGCUUCUUGCUUUACCCCCGGUCCUGUCCUUCUUUUUUCCUGUCAGCUUUCCUCACACUUGUCCGGCGGCUG